CGACCGCUUCAGCCGGUAUUCGAGCACGCGGCUGUCGAGCGCGAACGUGCGCACGCGCGAGCGGUCGGGUGCCGCGCCCGGAGCGGGCGG
RNAcentral lists this transfer RNA (90 nucleotides) under Burkholderia seminalis. Its description in RNAcentral is "tRNA-Asp". Lineage: Bacteria; Pseudomonadati; Pseudomonadota; Betaproteobacteria; Burkholderiales; Burkholderiaceae. The record is from RNAcentral.